CUAAGCGGGAAGCCUACCUCAAGAUAAGAUUUCCCUAGGACUUUAUGUCCUCUAAAGAGCCGUUCGAGACUAGGACGUUGAUAGGUUGGAUGUGGAAGCAUAGUGAUAUGUGAAGCUGACCAAUACUAAUUGCUCGUGAGGCUUGACUAU
This 150-nucleotide ribosomal RNA is filed under the name Acinetobacter baumannii. RNAcentral's name for it is "partial 23S ribosomal RNA". It matches the Rfam family "Bacterial large subunit ribosomal RNA", at positions 2781 to 2925 of the family's 2925-position model. The record is from RNAcentral. Lineage: Bacteria; Pseudomonadati; Pseudomonadota; Gammaproteobacteria; Moraxellales; Moraxellaceae.